This is a long non-coding RNA of Equus quagga, 897 nucleotides long. RefSeq lists it as uncharacterized. The transcript is spliced from 6 exons. The record is from RefSeq and is a predicted model, not a curated record. Lineage: Eukaryota; Metazoa; Chordata; Mammalia; Perissodactyla; Equidae.
CCUGGGGGCUGAAGUAACAGCCUCAACAGAAGUCACUACAGGGGGCAGUGGCUCUAUGCUGGGGGCACUUUCUCCUGCCUGGGACAGUGGGCAGGGGUGCGGGAGGAGGAGAAGGGAGAGUCUCAGGAAGGUGGUUCCCAAGUGAAUCUUGAAGGAUGGGUAGACAUGCAUCAUUCCUCAACCUCUCUCGGCUUCAGGCGCCUCAUCGGAACAUUGGGUGUAAUUCAUGGUACUUUCUCCCCAGGCUUCUUGUGAGGACCAAAUGAACGCAUCUAUGGAGAGCUCUUAGCGCAGGGCCUGGCUAACGGAGGUGCAGCUCUGGAACCCUCCAGGAUGCCGCUGGGCCACCGUGGACAGCCCUGUCACCCUGAGAGGUCUCGUCUUCUCUCUCCCUCAUCAUCUAAGAGUUUAUAACAAUGUGCACUGAGCUCCAACUAUAUGGAAGAAAGCUGAGGCUCCAAGGGAUCCAGGACCCAGCGAGGAGGGCGCAGAGUCGGUUCAAGCCCAGGCUCGGAUGCAUCCUUAGUUACACUCUGUCUCUGGGCUCACUCUCUGCUGUUCUCCUCCCAGAUGUGGUCUUGGUGGGAGCUGAGCUGUGGCCCAGGAGCCCCUCCCUGGGCUGUGGGAGGGGAUGUGCAGAAGGAGGAGAGAAUGACACAUAUUUGGAACCCAGGCACGAACCAGGGAGGCUGGAAGUCCUCUCAAGGCUGGCGCGUAGCCUUUCCUGCACCACCACCAUCUCCUCCUCCCCAACAACACCCUCUCAAUCAAGUGCAUUUGCUCCUGUUCUACCACAGGCCUCUGCGCAGGCUGCUUCUCUUCCAGGACAGCUAAAGGGUGGCCCAGUGUUUUGUUGGUUCGAAUCCCGGGCAUGGACAUGGCACUGCUCUUCAAGCC